Molecule: ribosomal RNA, 464 nt
Filed under: uncultured bacterium
Lineage: Bacteria
Description: partial 16S ribosomal RNA
Rfam family: Bacterial small subunit ribosomal RNA
Source: RNAcentral
CUACGGGUGGCUCCAGUGGGGAAUAUUGCACAAUGGGCGCAAGCCUGAUGCAGCCAUGCCGCGUGUAUGAAGAAGGCCUUCGGGUUGUAAAGUACUUUCAGCGGGGAGGAAGGGAGUAAAGUUAAUACCUUUGCUCAUUGACGUUACCCGCAGAAGAAGCACCGGCUAACUCCGUGCCAGCAGCCGCGGUAAUACGGAGGGUGCAAGCGUUAAUCGGAAUUACAGGGCGUAAAGCGCACGCAGGCGGUUUGUUAAGUCAGAUGUGAAAUCCCCGGGCUCAACCUGGGAACUGCAUCUGAUACUGGCAAGCUUGAGUCUCGUAGAGGGGGGUAGAAGUCCAGGUGUAGCGGUGAAAUGCGUAGAGAUCUGGAGGAAUACCGGUGGCGAAGGCGGCCCCCUGGACGAAGACUGACGCUCAGGUGCGAAAGCGUGGGGAGCAAACAGGAUUAGAUACCCUAGUAGUC